UAGGGAAUCUUCCGCAAUGGACGCAAGUCUGACGGAGCAACGCCGCGUGAGUGAAGAAGGAUUUCGGUUCGUAAAACUCUGUUGUUAGAGAAGAACAGCGCAUAGAGUAACUGUUAUGCGUGUGACGGUAUCUAACCAGAAAGCCACGGCUAACUACGUGCCAGCAGCCGCGGUAAUACGUAGGUGGCCAGCGUUGUCCGGAUUUAUUGGGCGUAAAGCGAGCGCAGGCGGUCAAUUAAGUCUGAUGUGAAAGCCCCCGGCUCAACCGGGGAGGGUCAUUGGAAACUGGUUGACUUGAGUGCAGAAGAGGAGAGUGGAAUUCCAUGUGUAGCGGUGAAAUGCGUAGAUAUAUGGAGGAACACCAGUGGCGAAGGCGACUCUCUGGUCUGUAACUGACGCUGAGGCUCGAAAGCGUGGGUAGCAAACAGG
Molecule: ribosomal RNA, 429 nt
Filed under: Bacteroidota bacterium
Lineage: Bacteria; Pseudomonadati; Bacteroidota
Description: Bacteroidetes bacterium partial 16S ribosomal RNA
Rfam family: Bacterial small subunit ribosomal RNA
Source: RNAcentral